AUUAGAUGUGAAUAUCUAAUUAGGGUGUUUCCCAGAAUCAUUCAACAAAUAGUACCUACUGUAUACCAGGCAUUGUCCUUUUAAGAACAGUGGAUUGUGGUGAUGGGAGGUAAGAAAAAGGAGCUGGUCUUCAGUUGGGUGGUUUCUCAGUUAUUUUUUUAGUGCUUCUACCUGAUUCAUAUAUGGCCUGGAUGGGUAUAACUUUGCUACUGAUACAACUUGUAAUUUAUUGAAUGUUCUGUGUGAAACCCCUUUAUAGGUGUUUCAUUGUUCUUUAAUGCAGUGAUUGUUCUGUUAAUUGCAAUCUUAUUCUACCAUCAAGACAAAUAAUUGCUGAGCCAUGGAAGCUGUUUUUGGUGACAGGUUAAAUGAUAAAGACAAGGGUUGGAAAUAGUUUUUUCCUCCGGGUAAGAAGUGGUCAAUAACAAAGAUGAUGACCAACAUCUAGGCUACAGUUGGGUUGGUUUCCCACCACUUGGAGGUUGUGUCUAUUUUGGUCCCUUUUUCUUACAAGAACCAUCACAAAUCUAAUCUUGUAUUGAUAUAGCCCUUUGGUCUGAUGGGUGGGACGAGCAGGUUUUAAAAGAUGGAGCCUAUAAUUUCAUCGAUUCAACAAGUAUUUUGAGUGCUACUCUGCAAGCUGUUUUAGGUACUGGGGAUAUCUACAGUCUUGAAGCUUAUAUUCUAAUGGGGGAGACAAAAGGUAAAAAGUAGAGAAUAUUUUUUAGGUGGGGAAGUCAGUGAAACCUUCGUGAGGUGGCGGUGGGGGACUAAAUAAGGGAGUAAUAUAUAAUUGUGUUACGGAACAUUCUGUCUGGUUGAAACUUCAAGGGAGUCAUUCUUGCUUUCUGCUUUGAGAGCAUGGUCUCACUGUAACAGACAGCGUAGGCAGUUUUUCAUGACUGCCAGAAUCUGGGCUGGUUUAAUGCUAUAUUUCUACUAUAGCUUAAAAAAACUUGUUAAGGGGAAAAACCCUAUUAAGAACAGUGAGGAAAUAAUUCUAAAACUGGAUUUGAAAUGAUUGAAUUUAACUUGCUGAUAUUUCAACAUUGUUUUUGAAAUUAUUUUUGUUUAAGCUUCCAAUCAAAUAUAUCUUGAUGAGUUCAGGCCAUGUGGUCUGCUCUUUGUAACUGACAAAGUGUUAUUGUCUCCUGGCAUCAUUUAGCUCAGGAGCAACACAGUUUUUCAGAGCAUUGCUUUGUUUUAAUACACUGAUUUUCCCAUAGCCUUGCAUCAUUCAUUUUCUUGAAUUAAAUGUGAUUCACAUUCACCUUAGAGCUAGCUUUGCACUUAACGAAGCACUCACUAAGCUGCCUACCAUGUGGAGAGUGCAGAGAUGAACACGGCGUGGUGCCUGUCCUUGCCUUGCCUCCACAGCAACUUCCUGUUUAGGCCUUGGGUAGUCAGAUGGGUGUAUCACCGGAAUUCAGAUGGGAGUGGGAAUCAUCACACUCCUGUAGUGAUGGCCUCCAGCCCAGCCUGAUUCUGGAUGGGUAAAAGGUCUUAGGAGGGCAGUUUUCAGGAUGAUUUGGGGGUUUGGGCUUGCUGUUAGACCUCUUAAUGUUGACUUAAUCGUCUAGGCAUCCUCAAAAUUGAGUUGACUUGGGUGAAGGCUAAGUUAAACCAGGCUUCUUAACCUCUGGUUUAAUGCAUCAGAAUUAAACUCGACUCUAGGGGGAUAGAGUAGUGAGGUAGACUGCCUUCAUUGUGGUAUUAAGUGCUGUUGCAAACUCCUGGAGGAAAGUUUGCUAGGUACUAGAGUUCUCUGCGUGGUCUCAUGCUGCAGAAAAUGGAAUUCCCAGAAUGAUGGCAAUGGGAAUUCCUUUGCCAGAACUCCUUUUCUGCUGAGGGCUUGGAGAACAUUAGUGGAAGCAGGAGACAGUAGAGUUUCAAAAGGGGAAGUCUCCAAGACAGAAUUAAGAAAUCCCUGUAUGUGAAGACUUUGAGGAAAUUUUGGUUCAUUAGAAAUGAUGUGUUAUUUUCUAUGAUAAGUACAUAGAAAAUAAAUGAAAAUGGGUAAAAACUCAGGAGUAAACAAAAACAGUUGUGGGGUUCAAUUUUGUCAUAAUCAUGGCCACAGUGUAAUAUAAUAGUCAUUUAACUACAUUUGGAGAGUGGGGAAGUGCAGAUGGGUCAGUAGAGAAUUUUAAAAGGUGCUAAAUGAGAAUUAUGAGCAUCUUAGACACAGGUAAAGAACAGCUGAAACGCUAAAAACCAUUGCUUCUGGGGAGGAUGGGGCAAGAGAUUUGAAAGCUUUGUAUUGUUUGCAUGAAUUAUUUUGAUAAAAAUAAAAAGUUGUCAUGCUAACAGUUCUUUUUUCCUGUUUUAAGCCUUACCUGGUGGCUUAACACUUUCCAACAUCUCACCAAAAUGUGAAUCUUCUACCAAGAGUAGGGACUUUUGUAUUAUUUUAUUGGCAGGUAAAUAGCACCCCUGAGAUGACAAAAGGCAAAGAGAUGAUAAAACUAAAGGAGGAGGAAGUGCUUAGCUAAUGAUACCUAAACCUAAAAUGCCGAAUUUUUUUUAUGACCGCUCUUGAUUUGCCGCACUUGUCCAGGCCAACAGGGAAACUGCUCUUUGUCCCGUGGGACUAGCUCUUGAAGGGCUGGGUCUGGUGGUUACCUUAAUAUCUACAUCAAACAUGCUGUUUGCAACAAGAUGCUACCUCU
Molecule: long non-coding RNA, 2669 nt
Organism: Phyllostomus discolor (pale spear-nosed bat)
Lineage: Eukaryota; Metazoa; Chordata; Mammalia; Chiroptera; Phyllostomidae
Exons: 2
Source: RefSeq, a predicted model, not a curated record